RNAcentral lists this ribosomal RNA (320 nucleotides) under uncultured eukaryote. RNAcentral's name for it is "partial 18S ribosomal RNA". It matches the Rfam family "Eukaryotic small subunit ribosomal RNA", at positions 1470 to 1796 of the family's 1831-position model. The record is from RNAcentral.
CCCUUAGAUGUUCUGGGCCGCACGCGCGCUACGCUGAUGCAUUCAACGAGUUACCUUGGCCGAGAGGCCUGGGCAAUCUUUUGAACGUGCAUCGUGAUAGGGAUAGAUUAUUGCAAUUAUUAAUCUUGAACGAGGAAUUCCUAGUAAACGCAGUUCAUCAAACUGCAUUGAUUACGUCCCUGCCCUUUGUACACACCGCCCGUCGCACCUACCGAUUGGAUGGUCCGGUGAAGCCUCGGGAUUGUGGCCAGUGCCUUUUUGGUUUUGGUUGCGAGAACUUGUCUAAACCUUAUCAUCUAGAGGAAGGUGAAGUCGUAACA